AGGCCAAGCAGGAAGUAUGGUUGGCCUCUUUCUCUGUUUGAGGCACACACUGAGAUCUAAGGAAAGCUGAUUUAACACCGCCCUCUCUCCCAGUUGUGGGUUCCCUGGUGGCAGCCAGUGGGUGCACUGGUGACGGUUUCAUGUGGUGUGGCAACUGGAUUUGCAGUGGAGUGGUGUGUGUGGUCACCUUAGGUUGGGCUCUCCUUUAGUAGGACCAGCAGAUAAUAGUUUUAUUAAUUUUAAUGACAAAUAAAACUGCUUGUAACAACGCAUGGACUGGUUUGACUGCGG
Molecule: long non-coding RNA, 291 nt
Organism: Sebastes umbrosus (honeycomb rockfish)
Lineage: Eukaryota; Metazoa; Chordata; Actinopteri; Perciformes; Sebastidae
Exons: 4
Source: RefSeq, a predicted model, not a curated record